RNAcentral lists this ribosomal RNA (506 nucleotides) under uncultured bacterium. Its description in RNAcentral is "partial 16S ribosomal RNA". It matches the Rfam family "Bacterial small subunit ribosomal RNA", at positions 29 to 523 of the family's 1533-position model. The record is from RNAcentral.
AACGAACGCUGGCGGCGUGCUUAACACAUGCAAGUCGAACGCGAACGGGUUCUUCGGGACCUUAGUAGAGUGGCGCACGGGUGAGUAACGCGUAAGUUAUCUACCUCGGCAUCUGGAAUAACUCACCGAAAGGUGUGCUAAUACCGGAUACGUUGAGUAAUCAAGAAAGGUGGCCUCUCUUUGAUGCUACCGUGCUGAGAUGAGCUUGCGUACCAUUAGCUAGUUGGUGGGGUAAUGGCCUACCAAGGCGACGAUGGUUAGCGGGUCUGAGAGGAUGAUCCGCCACACUGGAACUGGAACACGGACCAGACUCCUACGGGAGGCAACAGUGAGGAAUAUUGCGCAAUGGGGGCAACCCUGACGCAGCGACGCCGCGUGGAUGAUGAAGGCCUUCGGGUCGUAAAAUCCUGUCAGGUGGAAAGAAAUGUAUAUGUGCUAAUACCAUGUAUACUUGACGGUACCACCGAAGGAAGCACCGGCUAACUCCGUGCCAGCCGCCGCAGUAA